Molecule: long non-coding RNA, 2812 nt
Organism: Camelus dromedarius (Arabian camel)
Lineage: Eukaryota; Metazoa; Chordata; Mammalia; Artiodactyla; Camelidae
Exons: 6
Source: RefSeq, a predicted model, not a curated record
CAGAAGGGACCUAUGCCGCCGAGGGGAAGCGGAGCGGUGCGCGCUGUGUGUUCUCCAGGCCUUUUAGGAAACGUGGAGUGGCUCCUGGGGCCCCAUACACGCGGAGUUACAAGAAAAGGGGCGUUGGAGCCUUCGAGGGCAUAGGUACUGUUCGAAAAGACAGGCCCUGCGAACGGCACCACAAAGCGGUGGCGGAGGCGGUACCCAGCGCAAUGCCGGCAUCGCUGUGAACGAACAAGGGCCCGGUUCCCGCCACGCAGAGCCGAAGCGCUUCCUGACUCGUGUCGGUGGAGUGGUCGGAGAAAGAGGGAAGCUGGAGAGGGCUCCGGUGAGGCAGCAGCCUGCCCCGGGCCAGAGGCGGGCGGCUUGAGAGCCGAGGGGAAGGAGCCAGCCCCUCGGAAGCCCCGCAGAAGCCCCGCGAAAACCCACUCCUGUGAAUUCAUGGCCCAAUGGGUGUAAAGAAAGGAAAGACUUGCGAGGGGCGGCCGAAGUGCCCUGUUUCCGGAGGUGCAGUUCCCAAGGAAGCCUGAGUCAGCGAUCAUCGCCAGGAGCUGGCCUUCCCGGACGGACGAGGGGACAGAGCACCGUGAGAACCAGGGCCCGGUGUGUGCCCCAGGAGGAUUCUUGGUCUCAGAGAUGGAAAUGUCACUUGGGCAUAAGUCACGAUCAUCACUUUCACACCAGACAUGAUCUCCUGCCCGGUGUAUUACUGGUCCUUCUCCAUCCCACCCUAGGGGGACCACCUGCAUGACACCAUGGAGGGACACAUCAAAAAAAUACUCUGCUAGUUCAGCAUCAUGGACUUCAAAAGCAGAAGCAAGGAAAAUCCAUGCAUUAGGGUUAAUAACCAUACCUCAUGCAGGGUUGUUUGACACAUUCAGGGGGUUGGAGAUCUUCAGGAUAAGUUCCUACAUGGCAAACCAAGUAAAACAUGACUAUAAAUCAUCACGGCUAUAAAAGCCAGCCUGCAUGCCCACAGCCUGAGAGGAAUCUGAGCAGGAAAAAGAAAUGAGGCAGAAGAUCCAUAUGGAGCCAGGCAAGGAUGGACGAAUGCACUUUUGCCAAAAGGGUUUUCCAUGAAAUGCAAAUCCUGCAAGAUGACCUGCUGAAAUAAGUUUAGAAAAUGCUUCAAAUCCUGCAAGAUGAAGCACAAAAGCUACAAGAUGAUCUAUGUCCAAAUAAUUGCUACCACUAUGAGUGACAGAUUAUACAAGAGGAUGAAUGUUAGAUCUUAGUAGCAGUUGGAUUCCAGCUGUGGAACUCAGAAUUCAGGACAGGUUUGUAGAUUCCAGAGUUGGAACACCCAAGACAGUGGCUACUAGCUUCAUGAGACUAGUGAGUGCUUGAAAUAAGACCAGUACCAACUGAGACGUGCUCUAAGUGUAAGGUACACAAUGGAUAUUGACAGACAUGUUACAAAUGAAGGAUGUAAAAUAUUUCAUUAGUAAUUUUUAAUUGAUUACAUGUUAAAAUGUAUCAUGGGUAUAUUCAAUUAAAGUAUGAUAAAUUAAUGUUUCUUUUACUUUUUCUGUGGUGGCUACUAGGAAAAUUAAAGUCACAUAUGUGGCUUGAAUUAUAUCUUUGUUGGACAAUUAUUCACAUAAAGGAAUCCUUUGAAUUCUUAAGGGAUCACAAAAGGAACAGCUUAGAGUAAGUAGGCCAAGGAAAGAAUAUUGAUCAUCUUGAGAGAAUCCUACAUUUAGGAGCCAGGAAAGAAGGAGGAGAUGACAAAGGAGACUGGGGAGUGAUCAAAGAUGACAGCAUUAAGAUGGAAACUUGGCCACAGGUUACAGAAAGGCCAGGGAGAAUGACAGCAGGAAAGAGGCUGUUACAUUUACCAGUUAAGAGGUUAUUUGUUUUUAGGACUUUUCAUAGGGUGGUUGUGGUGGAAGCUGGUUUAAAAAAGGAAUAGGGGUGGGACUCAAGAUACAUUUUUAAGAAAAUGGAUGAUGUGAACAUGUAUAUAAGUUUAGUGGAGGGGAAGAGAGAAAAGAUUCAAAAGGAAGAAGAGAUUGUUGAGGUAGUGAAGUCCCAUCAUUAGUUUUAGGAAAGUAACUUGCCUAGGAGAGGAUUCAGAUACUUUUUCUCUGAGGCCACAGAGAAGGAAAAGAAAUUCAGGAAUUUCACUUGAUUUUAUUUCUUAUGUUCUCCGAGACAGAAGAGAUAAUGUUAUAGUCCAUGUUAGAAGAUUGAGGCUAAAUUUGAGAGCUUGAGAAGUAUGAAAAAUGCUCAGAGAAGACACAGUAGCAAGUCAUCAGCGUGAAGUAAUAAACAAGUAGAAAACGAGCAGUGAAGAGCCAGUGCAGUCUGGGCGGCAUAAAUGCUCAGGAGCACAGCUGAUGCAGUGAUGUCCCGUCACCGACAGAGCUAAGCUUUCUGAGGCUUACCCAAGAUUAGGAAAGAACCAAGUGAGUGUGAUUGAAGGACAUGGGGCUGCUCCUCUAGCUUGUGUGAAAGUAACAAAAACCGUAGAACUUGAUGUCCAAGUUGUAUUUAAAAAAGGUUUCAAAGCCAUUCUGGGAACGGACCUCACUUGUAUGAAGCAAUGCCUGGAUCAGGUGUGUGUGUUUGGCUCUGUGACGAAGGGUCUCAUCUUCUGCAGAUUACCCACAUCACCAAGUCAGAAGCAGCAAGAACGAACAUGGAUUUCCAUCCAUCCUUAUGAGGUUCCAGCGCAUCCUCAUGUGAUUCUAGUCUGCUUGGUGACUGUCGCUUCCCAACUGCCCGCCCUCUGAACGUCAGGCCAGCACCAGGCGCAGAGACGGCCUGGCAGAAACUGCUUAUCCAGCCCCACAAGCUAAUUCCCUGUAAG